This 478-nucleotide ribosomal RNA is filed under the name uncultured bacterium. Its description in RNAcentral is "partial 16S ribosomal RNA". It matches the Rfam family "Bacterial small subunit ribosomal RNA", at positions 28 to 523 of the family's 1533-position model. The record is from RNAcentral.
GACGAACGCUGGCGGCGUGCUUAACACAUGCAAGUCGAGCGAUGAAGCUCCUUCGGGAGUGGAUUAGCGGCGGACGGGUGAGUAACACGUGGGUAACCUGCCUCAUAGAGGGGAAUAGCCUUCCGAAAGGAAGAUUAAUACCGCAUAAGAUUGUAGUACCGCAUGGUAUAGCAAUUAAAGGAGUAAUCCGCUAUGAGAUGGACCCGCGUCGCAUUAGCUAGUUGGUGAGGUAACGGCUCACCAAGGCGACGAUGCGUAGCCGACCUGAGAGGGUGAUCGGCCACAUUGGGACUGAGACACGGCCCAGACUCCUACGGGAGGCAGCAGUGGGGAAUAUUGCACAAUGGGGGAAACCCUGAUGCAGCAACGCCGCGUGAGUGAUGACGGCCUUCGGGUUGUAAAGCUCUGUCUUCAGGGACGAUAAUGACGGUACCUGAGGAGGAAGCCACGGCUAACUACGUGCCAGCAGCCGCGGUAA